RNAcentral lists this long non-coding RNA (1588 nucleotides) under Canis lupus familiaris (dog). Its description in RNAcentral is "lncRNA (ENSCAFG00845027814.1)". Lineage: Eukaryota; Metazoa; Chordata; Mammalia; Carnivora; Canidae. The record is from RNAcentral.
UUUUUUUUUUUUUUUUUUUCCCUUUUUCCCUGGGGGUGGGGUGGUGGUGGAUCAGAUGUCCUGGAUGUAUUUAAAAUGUGGAAUAAAAUUUUUUUGACAAAUAGUCACCGUGAAUAAUGCCGACCAGAAUUAAAAGCUGUCCUCAGUCAUGCCUGUGGAGCUAAACGUUUAAGACCGCCCCAAAGACACGAACUCCCGCUUCUCCCUUCCGAGCUGCCCCCCCCCCCCCCCCCCCCCCCCCCUUUAGCCUUUGCCGUGAGGUCGGAGCGUGAUACUCCCUAGAGGACGGGCCUGGGCCUGACCCCUGGCGCGGCCUCCGGAUGACGGACCUUGGAGUAGAUGGAACUUCCAAGUCUCCGUUCCAUUGAGUCAAAUCCCAACUUUUAUAUAUAAACAUAUAAAAGUUUCUAGCUGAAUGUGUGACUGUAAAGUUAUAUAGGUGAUAUUUUUUCGUUUCUUUUUGUUUUAGCAAAAGACGAGGACAUCCAAAUAUUGUUCCCUUUGUAGUAGUUUCCCUAGAGGAUUAAACGUUUAGUUCCAUGUUAUGGUUCUCCUCAAAAAUAUUUUUAUAGCGCCUUUUUUGGAACUAUAUUCCCACUUCAUGGUGUUUUUAAUGUUAGGAAACAGUGUAAGCCAUUUGGAAUCAUGAUUGAUGGUCAGGUUGGAUUUAGGCUAAAACCCUAAGAACGCCGCAUUCUUUCGGAUAUGUAAAUAAGCUCUCAACUGGUUCCCAAACUGCUUUUACCAGUGGUGUCGCACUCCUGGAACAAGCGUUCCAAGGUCCUUUAAGGACAGUAUUUGAUUUGGAUAGUUAAGGUAUGGUUGGUUGUUGCUUUUGUUUCAUUACACAAUCGUUACUUUGUAGUCACGUGUUGUACAUAUUAAAUAGCCAACUUGUAUUCAGACUUUGUAAAUAGAACUCUUUCAAAUACUUAAUCAUAAAAAAAGCUCAUGUAUUUGCAUGUUCUUUGUAAGCUUCAUUCAUGCUGGUUAUUGCACUGAACGAUGUAUUAUUAGGGCAUGUUAACAGUAUACCAGUAACAGCACUUUAUCUCGUUUAUAUGAACACCUUUGAGGUGCUACUUAAGUCCAAACUGAUGUAUUAUUCAUCUGUAAAGAUAAGGUACAGGAAUGAACCUUGGUUUAAAGGUAUUUUUAUAUGAAAAUGGUGCGCUAUUGGAGGAUGUUAAAAUGCUAAAUUGAGAGAGGUGGGAGUAUAGUUGUUUUAUAUGUUGGGAUGUGAAAUUUAUUUUCUAGAAUUGGGGAGAAGGAAGUUCUAUAUUUACAGAAUGUUUUAAAAACGAAUAGUUGUCAUGAAGUUCUUGUAAGCAUCAUCAUGGUUUUGUACAAAUAGGAAAUCUGGUGUCAUUCUUCAACAUUUGUUUCUGAGUGUGUACAGCGUACUUUGUACAGCUUUCUUUUUUUUUUUUUUUUUUUUUUUAGGCUUUCUGUGAGUUUUGCUAGAAGUACUAUGGCUUAUUUAUUGUUCAUUGUUUUCUUUAAUAUUUGUGAAAGUCUUACUCUUUUGUUAUGUAGUUUUGUUUCUGCACAACUACUGUACUUUUCCAUAUGGAAUAAAGAAUAUUAA